UUCAGGUGAAGUCAGUGAUCCUAUGCUGCCGAGAAAAGCCUCUAGCGAGUUCUUAGCGGCCCGUACCCCAAACCGACACAGGUGGUCAGGUAGAGAAUACCAAGGCGACGGGCGAACUGUGGUUAAGGAACUCGGCAAAUUACCCCCGUAACUUCGGGAGAAGGGGGGCCGGACACGUGAAGCAACACGCUUGUGGAGCGUGGUAUGGCCGCAGAGACCAGGGGGAAGCGACUGUUUACUAAAAACACAGGUCCAUGCGAAGAAGUAAUUCGAUGUAUAUGGACUGACGCCUGCCCGGUGCUGGAACGUUAAGGGGACCUGUUAGCUCUUCGGGGCGAAGCGGAGAACUUAAGCGCCAGUAAACGGCGGUGGUAACUAUAACCAUCCUAAGGUAGCGAAAUUCCUUGUCGGGUAAGUUCCGACCUGCACGAAUGGCGUAACGACUUCCCUACUGUCUCAACCACAGGCCCGGCGAAAUUGCAGUACGAGUAAAGAUGCUCGUUACGCGCGGCAGGACGGAAAGACCCCGGGACCUUUACUAUAGCUUGACAUUGGUAUCUGAGUUAAUUUGUGUAGGAUAGGUGGGAGCCUGUGAAGCUCGUACGCCAGUACGGGUGGAGGCAAUCUUGAAAUACCACUCUGGUUGAUUCGGGUAUCUAACUUCGGACCGUGAUCCGGUUCAGGGACAGUGUCUGGUGGGUAGUUUAACUGGGGCGGUUGCCUCCUAAAGAGUAACGGAGGCGCCCAAAGGUUCCCUCAGCCUGGUUGGCAAUCAGGUGUUGAGUGUAAGUGCACAAGGGAGCUUGACUGUGAGACUGACAGGUCGAGCAGGGACGAAAGUCGGGACUAGUGAUCCGGCACCGGCAUGUGGAAGCGGUGUCGCUCAACGGAUAAAAGGUACCCCGGGGAUAACAGGCUGAUCUUCCCCAAGAGUCCGUAUCGACGGGAUGGUUUGGCACCUCGAUGUCGGCUCGUCGCAUCCUGGGGCUGUAGCAGGUCCCAAGGGUUGGGCUGUUCGCCCAUUAAAGCGGUACGCGAGCUGGGUUUAGAACGUCGUGAGACAGUUCGGUCCCUAUCCGCCGUGCGCGUAGGAUACUUGAGAAGGGCUGUCCCUAGUACGAGAGGACCGGGACGGACGAACCUCUGGUGUGCCAGUUGUCCCGCCAGGGGCACGGCUGGUUAGCUACGUUCGGAAGGGAUAACCGCUGAAAGCAUCUAAGCGGGAAGCUCGCUUCAAGAUGAGGUAUCCCACCCAGAAAAA
RNAcentral lists this ribosomal RNA (1261 nucleotides) under metagenome. Its description in RNAcentral is "bacterial LSU rRNA". It matches the Rfam family "Bacterial large subunit ribosomal RNA", at positions 1580 to 2824 of the family's 2925-position model. The record is from RNAcentral.